GUAGUCCACGCAGUAAACGAUGAUUACUAGGAGUUUGCGAUACAAUGUAAGCUCUACAGCGAAAGCGUUAAGUAAUCCACCUGGGGAGUACGCCGGCAACGGUGAAACUCAAAGGAAUUGACGGGGGCCCGCACAAGCGGAGGAACAUGUGGUUUAAUUCGAUGAUACGCGAGGAACCUUACCCGGGUUUGAACGUAGUCUGACCGGAGUGGAAACACUCUUUCUAGCAAUAGCAGAUUACGAGGUGCUGCAUGGUUGUCGUCAGCUCGUGCCGUGAGGUGUCGGCUUAAGUGCCAUAACGAGCGCAACCCUUAUCACUAGUUACUAACAGGUGAAGCUGAGGACUCUGG
Molecule: ribosomal RNA, 350 nt
Filed under: uncultured Parabacteroides sp.
Lineage: Bacteria; Pseudomonadati; Bacteroidota; Bacteroidia; Bacteroidales; Tannerellaceae
Description: bacterial SSU rRNA
Rfam family: Bacterial small subunit ribosomal RNA
Source: RNAcentral